RNAcentral lists this long non-coding RNA (285 nucleotides) under Amborella trichopoda. RNAcentral's name for it is "long non-coding RNA (ATRI_LNC002161)". Lineage: Eukaryota; Viridiplantae; Streptophyta; Magnoliopsida; Amborellales; Amborellaceae. The record is from RNAcentral.
UCCACUAUGGAUAAAGGAAAACUUCCUAUGGAAAUUGUACCAUCAUCACCAGGCUCACCUAUAACCAGCUAUCCACCUUUGUCACCAAUUAGAUCAAUACAAAAUUAUCCUGACUAUUCCAGUCAAAUUCCAACAAGUCCAAACCCAAGAUUCAUAACCUCUCCUGUCCCAAAUAAAGUAUCAAACUCUAGAAAAUAUGUUUUUGAGGAAACUUCUUUCCUCAUUGAUAUCAUUAUCGAUGAUAAAUAUAUAAAGACCGACCCAAAUAAGCUAGCCUCCCUAUAC